UACGAAGGGGGCUAGCGUUGCUCGGAAUUACUGGGCGUAAAGCGCACGUAGGCGGCUUCUUAAGUCGGGGGUGAAAUCCUGGAGCUCAACUCCAGAAUUGCCUUCGAUACUGGCUUUCUAGAGGCUGGAAGAGGUUAGUGGAAUUCCCAGUGUAGAGGUGAAAUUCGUAGAUAUUGGGAAGAACACCAGUGGCGAAGGCGGCUAACUGGUCCAGAUCUGACGCUGAGGUGCGAAAGCGUGGGGAGCAAACAGG
RNAcentral lists this ribosomal RNA (253 nucleotides) under uncultured bacterium. RNAcentral describes it as "partial 16S ribosomal RNA". It matches the Rfam family "Bacterial small subunit ribosomal RNA", at positions 524 to 776 of the family's 1533-position model. The record is from RNAcentral.